AAUUGACUUACUGCCUCCUGGGCAGUCCUAAGGCAGGACUUCAACUGCCAUUGGUAGAUGUAGAAUUCGGGGAAGGCAAAGGAAGUGACAUAAGAAAAAGUGUCUUUAAAAUGGAGUUACAAUUUCCUAAAUCAAUUUCUAUUGGCAGUUCUUCAUUCCUUGAAGUGGAGGCUGGUAAAGAAUAUGCUGACUGAAGCUAAGACCCUGUUUCCUGGUGAGACUGUUCUAAAAUGUAUUCCUUUGAACUGACACACGGUAUGAAGAAAGAAGCAAGAAGGCAACCCCUUGUUCUGGACUUUUUUUUUUUUCCCCAUGGAUUAUAUCCAUGUUGGUGAAGAUCAGGCAUGCAUGCUCUAGGGUGCCAGAGGGCGCUGCUCCCAUCACCAUCUCUGCCACACCUGAGGACAUUUUUUGCCUGCUCCAUUCAUCAAACUUCUGUCCAGCAAAGCAAUAAUUGCAUUAUAAAAUCGUGGAUGUAGAACUGGAAGAUACUUCGUUAGACCUUAUCAACUCUGACAUCCAGAUUUAAGAGAAGGGGAAGAAGUUUAAAGAAAAAUGAGACAUUGACUAAGAAAGGUCCUUACUUCCUGCUGAGUUGGUUUAUCAAGGUGUGGCCACUGUGGUUGCUGAAGCUUCUUAGAGUCACAGAUGAGAACUGGGUGGCAGUUAGAUACCAAAGGAUGAUGAGAAGCAUUGAAAAGGUUUCAGCAAGCCCUCACAUUACAGGUAUUCAUCUUUUUUGGACAUCCAAAUUUAAGAAAGGAUUACAAAUAAAGAAGACAGAAUUUCAUUCCUUCAUGUUGAAAUGUACAUACGUCUUGAUCUAAUCUUACUCAGAAAAUGAUUUCCAAAUAAGAAAUAAUAAAAUUUUGUAAAACUGGAUUUUAGUAUUUUGA
Molecule: long non-coding RNA, 896 nt
Filed under: Monodelphis domestica (gray short-tailed opossum)
Lineage: Eukaryota; Metazoa; Chordata; Mammalia; Didelphimorphia; Didelphidae
Description: lncRNA (ENSMODG00000049803.1)
Source: RNAcentral